This 247-nucleotide unclassified non-coding RNA is filed under the name uncultured Ascomycota. RNAcentral describes it as "sequence contains 5.8S rRNA gene, ITS2, 28S rRNA gene". The record is from RNAcentral. Lineage: Eukaryota; Fungi; Ascomycota.
AACGCACAUUGCGCCCUUUGGUAUUCCUUAGGGCAUGCCUGUUCGAGCGUCAUUUAACCCUUCAAGCUCUGCUUGGUGUUGGGCGUUUGUCCCGCCUCGGGCGCGGACUCGCCUUAAAAUCAUUGGCGGCCUUUGAAUCGGCUUCGAGCGCAGCACAUUCGCGUCUCCGAACCGACACUCUGGCGUCCAGAAAGUCGAACCCCCCAAUUUUGACCUCGGAUCAGGUAGGGAUACCCGCUGAACUUAA